AAGUAUUUCCAUUGAACAUUCAGGAUUUUUGACAAAACAGAUAUCAUCAAGAAGGCAAUAGCUAGAGAAAGAGAGGUGCCUUUAAAAAAAAUGCAAAUGCAGCCUUACAGUGAGGAUGAGGAUUGAGUUUUUUUCUGGGUGAAGGGGUGUGAGAGAGUGUGAGUGUAUGUGUGUUGUGUGUAUGCUUGCCAGUCCACAAAGGUCCUGAUUUGUGACCAUCAGUGUCUUUUUAAUGUAUCUGUUCAACUUCUAGGACUUCAGGGGACAUUUCAUGCGCUGUCUUCGUGCUCUUCUGAGCACCAUAAAUACUUUCCAAGAAUUUUGAAUGUGAAUUCCUAGAAAUUUCAAUAGAGAAGAAAAUAACUAUUCUUUCAUUAUAAUUCAAGUUCAGGUAAAAGGAAAAGUUACUGAUUUACCAAAAUUAUGGGAUCUCAUUAAUGUUGGCUAAGUAAAUGUAAUUUUUAAAGGCUCACUUUUUUAGUGCUUCAUAUAUUUCCCCUUUACACAAGAGCAUGUCAUGAAAUUCUUAUGUGAAGGUUAAACUAGUAAAAGUUAUUUUUAGAUUAAACACCUGAACUAGUUAAAAUUCCACCUAAGAAUAGUAUUUAAAUGGCAUCUUUCAUAUCUACCUCUUUGUCAUUGCUGCCAUUUUGACUCAAGCAAAUCUUUAUGACAUCUAAAAUAAUGGUUGGAUGCAAUUUAAAAAUCUGUGUUGGUGCUUUUCUCAGGCUUUGUCAUUUAAGUUGUAUUGAACAAAGAUGUCACAAAUCAGAUUGAAAGGCUUAGAAUUACUUUGAUUUUCUUUUGAAAAAACUGCUUAAAAUUUAUCAAUGUUGAUAGUGGAGAUAGUUAGCUUCUGGUUAGUAUAUAUGUCUGUGUGAUAUUUUCAACCAUGAGCCAAACAGUUAUUGAAUUUACAUGGGAAGAGAGCUCUAAGUAUAAUUUUCUUCAUCUUAUUCUUUGAAAGCUAUUUCAAGGCUAUAAAGUACAUCAUGAUUGAUUUCUUUUACUCAGAAGUUGCCUCUGUGUUACUGUGUUACUUGUUUAGUUAUUUAUGUAAUUGCAGUAUUUUGUUUAACACUGGGAUUCAGGUUGUACAAAAGCAGUAGCUGACAGAAAUUAUAUGUAUAUUUUUCUGAAACGUAUCAAUUCCUUAGUAAGUUCACUUUAGACGAUGGUCCAGAAAACAAACAUGUUUGUAUUUAAAAGCAAGGGACAGGUCAGGUCCUUGGUAAAUGAUUUGAAUUGUUUUACUUUUGCCACUGGAAGCUUUUUAAUUGGCUAUAUCCAUCAUCCACUUGGAUCUCCAUGUUAUUUAUUGGAAGGGAUGCCAGGCUCACAAAGUAUUAAACAGACUGCAUCAUUUUUUUAAAUCCCCCCAAAAGCAAAUAUAAAGCCAAACAGGGAUUCCCUAAAUCUCAUUUAUUUAUUCUAGCAGUAUUCCUAAAGUGGUGCUUAAGGGUCAGAAUUUUUUGGAUCUUUGCUAGUCAAGCUUUAGAUUUGAUUUAACUGGGACCACAUGCCUGUCAUCCCUCUGAUGUAAAUUAGAAAGUUCAUUUUGAUUUAGAUUAACUCUAAUGUCUGCCUGGGUUUUUAACAGGCUGUGAACCAGUGAGUGCCUUGUUAACGUAGAAUGAUUUUUCCCUGGUUGUGUGUUAGCUCCUCUUUGAAAAUGUCUCAGAGAAUGGUAUUUCAAUUGAUUUGUAGAGAGCUGCUAAAUUUGGUAUUAUCGGCAAUCAGAAAGUCUUCAGUCUACCACAUACCACCCUCCCUACUUUCUUCUCAUUGUUUGGCUGAAGUUUGCCUCUUGUGAGAGACAAAUGCCACCCCCUUUUCACAUAGCUUUUUUCCAGUCCAAAGUAAAAGGUAUUCCCUUACACCCAUCCCAACGAUAUGAUCUAAUACUGUUUUUAGGAGGAACCACUUGUUUGUAAUCCUAUAAUCUACUGGUUAUGUUAUGUCUUCUCAACUUCAGUUUACUAGAACUGGCCUCAGGGCAUCAUCAGUUCAGAUUCCUAAAUAACUCCUUUUCUCCACACCCCUCCACCCCUCCAGCUGGUGAGCCCUGGGCCAGAUUGUUCGAUCUUCAGGUAUUUUAAAAUUUAGGUAUAAUAUCAACUAAUGUAAAUUAAUCCAGAUGCUAAUUUUUGUGGUGCAAGAAGUUUCUUUUGUAAAUUCAGGGUAUGGAUAAGCUAAUUAAGAUAUCCUUUUUUGGUGGCUCUAAGUGUAUUAUUUGUUUUUAAAUAAAGUGUACAAAUAUAGAUAACAUGCUAUAGGUGUCUCAUGAAUUGAAAUAUUUGUCAGAUUUGGAAUCUAGUGAAUUUGCAGUUAAGAUACUUGAAUAUAACCUGAUUUUAUUUUUUGUGUGGGAGGUAAUAGAGGGGUGCAUAGAAAUAAAAGUGUAUUAGACAAAGUAGAUGUGAAUCCAAAGUAAUGAACCAACCUUAAUUAUCAAUUGUAGGAAAGUGGAGAAGUUUAUUAUGAUAGAGGGUUUGGAUCUUUGGAAAGCCAGUAAAACUAAAAUAUCCCAUAUGAUUGGAUCAUGAUACUUUCAGGAACACAUAUGUAUCUUUUCUUAAGUGUUUAGUUAUAUAAUUAAAAAAAUUAUACACAUCUAUAGAUAAAUUUAAUGUGUUUUUAUUUUUUCUUUGGCCACUUUAACAAACAAGCAUAAGCCUUUUACCCCUUGCUCCUUGAAAUCAACAUUAUUUUUUAAGGGCUUCCUCUGCCCAGAAUUUACAAUCUCUUUUGUUCUAAUCUGGAGUCACAAUACUCUAUGGAAUCUGAAAGGCACCUCUUUUGGUGUCCUUGAAACUAUCCACUGUUAUAGGAUGCCACUGCAGUAAUGCAUGUUCUAUUCUUUGGUGUAUACACAUUUUUCAGUAGUGUCAAAAAUGUCCCUUUGUCCCUUGUAAUGAGAACUGAAAUAUGAUUUGCUGGGGUUAUUUUAGAGUAAUCUAGCUCAGAAGGUCAAGAGGACUCCAAAACGUUUUCAUGCAUUGAUGGUCCCUCUGGGGUCAGCCCAGGUUCAGAAUGGUAUUCCAGCCUGUUUGGGGUUUUCCUAAGAGUACCACUGAGGCUUCAAGGGGUCCUAGGUUGUCUUGGCACUUAGAGUAUUUCCCAGGAGCACGUAGAAGCCUGAUAGCACCUUUUAACCCAAACACUGUACCAUAACCAUCCCUCCACUUGUUGCUUCUAAAUUACACCUGUCACUUACAAUGAUGGGGACAUGUUCUGUGGAGAAACACUGACAUGCACUUUUGAAAAUUGAAUUCCAUUAUUUUGUGAAACACAAAUUUUAAUUUAGUGUAUUUUGUAUACUUUCAAAAUCAAGCAGAAUCCUAAAUCUGCCUAACAAAAUUAUUCACCUUGAGCUUCACUUAGAUCUUACAAAACCCUAAGCCCUUUCUUAUUCCUGGUUGUGAUGGUGGUUUCAGUCAGACUUGAAGAAGGAUCUGACUGUUUGGGAGAAUAAAAUCUUUAAUAUCAUGCUAAUAGGAAGGGUCUAUUUCAUAGAAAAUUCUCUUGUCCUUGGUUACUUAGCCAUUCACCUUGCAUGAAGGCUGGUCCAGAUGCUAACUCCACGUUGACUUUUCCUGUGUGUCUCUUUAAAGAGAUAAUUAAUCCAGUGAUGUGAAGGAGAACCCACAGUAAAACAUCUGUUAAAUAGCACUUGGAGUACUAGAGUUAGUAUUAUUAAUUCACGUGCCAAAGUUUUUCAUGCCCUCAUAAGAUCCAGGGUAUGUAUCAGGUUCUCUGUCUAUAUAUAACCUCAAACCAAAGAUAUUUUUGAAUUACCUCAUAUAAUAGCAUCAUCAAAUUAAGGGUAAUGGUAGGGAAACCCAUCAUUCAAAUGAGAAUUCCCAAACCAAAAAACUGUAAUAAAAAAAACCUGCAUGCAUGAAAAGCAAAAUUUUAUGUUAAGCAUGCGUUGUAAAAAUCAGCAGCUUGUGGUUUAUAUAUGUUGAAAUAUUAAUGUAUACUGACAUUCAACUACUCCUUAUGGAAAUGGGACAAAUAAUUUUUUAUCAAUAAGAUUAAUUUUCUUUAGAGCAAAAGAAAUUCAUCAGAAAGUUUACAUUGGAUAUUGGAUAACUUAGGUGAGGGUGUGGGGAAAAAUGUACCACACUAAAAAGGAAAAAGGAGUUAGCCUUUGAUCUGGAUCCAUCACACAUGGUCUUCCUUUCUCUUUAAAUGGCCUGGAAAGGUGACCUCUGAGAUCCUUUUCCUCUGUAAAAGUAAAUGGUUCCAGUUCUGGCUUGUUUUGUAAUUAUCCCUGUAAUCUAAAAGAUUUUUAAGAAAUAAAACUAUCCUAGAGUCCCCUGAUUAAAAAGUACCAUACAAUACAGCUUUUUAUUAUAUUGUAGCAGGCUGUAUUAAGACAGGGCCAAGUGUGCUGUGACAUCUACAUAUGUUGGAACAAAGACCAGACAUGUAAGAAAUGUGGCCAACUGGUGACCUCAUGAAAAGAUAGAACCUUUUUUUUUUGGCCACACCCGCAACAUACAAAAGUUCCCAGGCCAGGGAUCAAACCCCAGCCAUAGCAGUGACAUCUCUGAAUCCUUAACCGCUAGGCCACCAGUGAAACCAGAGAAUCAUUUUUAUGGGAUGAGUUCUGUUUUGAAUGAUUUCGACUAUGUUUUUAGAAGCAUUUAAGAAAUAUUUACAUCUUUUUCUAUAGAUUUGGAGAUCACAUAUUUCAGAAUAUCCUAUUGAUGGGAUUAUUGACUCAGUGUAUAUUAUAGAAAAAGAAGAACUCCAUGGUCUCAUCUUUUGACAGUCAUUUAUGGAUAACACUCCUGACUCUUGCUCCCCACAAAUACUCACAUGCCAUGGAAGAGUUCUUUCAAAUGUGGUAAAUAUUUCAGUAUAUUGCUAACUGGAAAAGCAGUAUUUUUAUACAUAGCUUGUAGGUAAACCAUGGAGCCUUGUGCUCUUUGAUACAUGUAAAUAUGAAUGGAACAUUAAAAUAGAGUAUGUGUAUUAUGUAAAUAAUGUUAGUAGUAUCCCUUUAAAGCUAUUAAGGGUAGAUUCUGCCAAUUGUCAUUCACAGAUUUUGGAAGUGUGCAUGUUUAGCCAAAAUACCAUUUGACAGUUCAUUUAAGGAGAAACUUUGUUUUUCAAUAAAGUAGUACCUGUUCAAUUUCCUUGUAUAGGUCAGGGUCAAAAGAAAUGAGGCUUUCAGAGUUCCCGUCGUGGCGCAGUGGUUAACGAAUCCAACUAGGAACCAUGAGGUCGCGGGUUCGGUCCCUGCCCUUGCUCAGUGGGUUAAUGAUCCGGCGUUGCCAUGAGCUGUAGUGUAGGUCCCAGACGUGGCUCGGAUCCCACGUUGCUGUGGCUCUGGCGUAGGCCGGUGGCUACAGCUCCGAUUCGACCCCUAGCCUGGGAAUCUCCAUAUGCUGAGGGAGCGGCCCAAGAAAUGGCAAAAAG
Molecule: long non-coding RNA, 5430 nt
Filed under: Sus scrofa (pig)
Lineage: Eukaryota; Metazoa; Chordata; Mammalia; Artiodactyla; Suidae
Description: lncRNA (ENSSSCG00000062995.1)
Source: RNAcentral